This 72-nucleotide transfer RNA is filed under the name Camelus bactrianus (Bactrian camel). It matches the Rfam family "tRNA". From Rfam's summary of the family: Transfer RNA (tRNA) molecules are approximately 80 nucleotides in length. Their secondary structure includes four short double-helical elements and three loops (D, anti-codon, and T loops). The record is from Rfam by way of RNAcentral. RNAcentral also lists the same sequence under 2 other names. Lineage: Eukaryota; Metazoa; Chordata; Mammalia; Artiodactyla; Camelidae.
AGGGAAAUAGCUCAAUGGUAGAGCACAUGCUUAGCAUGCACAAGGUCCUGGGUUCAAUCCCCGGUACCUCCA